Non-coding RNA from Myotis lucifugus (little brown bat), 75 nucleotides. NCBI's taxonomy places the organism in Eukaryota, Metazoa, Chordata, Mammalia, Chiroptera, Vespertilionidae. The record is from Rfam.
GGUUGUUUUCAGGUGAGGCACCCCAGAAUUGGGCUCCCUCCUCUCUGGUUCCAGGUGUGUCACCUGAGAACCGCC